RNAcentral lists this ribosomal RNA (305 nucleotides) under uncultured bacterium. RNAcentral's name for it is "bacterial SSU rRNA". It matches the Rfam family "Bacterial small subunit ribosomal RNA", at positions 337 to 640 of the family's 1533-position model. The record is from RNAcentral.
UCCUACGGGGCGCAGCAGUGAGGAAUAUUGGUCAAUGGGCGGGAGCCUGAACCAGCCAAGUCGCGUGAGGGAAGACGGUCCUAUGGAUUGUAAACCUCUUUUGUCGGAGAACAAAACCCGGGACGUGUCCCGGACUGCGUGUAUCCGAAGAAAAAGCAUCGGCUAACUCCGUGCCAGCAGCCGCGGUAAUACGGAGGAUGCGAGCGUUAUCCGGAUUUAUUGGGUUCAAAGGGUGCGUAGGCGGUCCGUUAAGUCAGCGGUAAAAUUGCGGGGCUCAACCCCGUCGAGCCGUUGAAACUGGCAGA